AUGUUAACCGAAGAUGAGUUCGAGACGGCAUGGGGUAUGUUGCUGGAUAAGUACAAUUUGCGGAAGCACGCAUAUAUGACACAGAUUUAUGAGAUUCGAACAAAGUGGGCCAAACCAUACUUUAGAGGUGUUUUCUAUGCCAAGAUGACUAGCACACAACGGAGCGAGAGUGCCAAUCAUAUGUUGAAGACAUACAUGCCCCCAGCUAGCCCCAUGCAUGUGUUUGUGAGGCAGUAUAUGCGACUGCAAUUUGACAGGGAGCAUGAAGAGAGCUACAAGGAGAAAAGAACUAUGAUUGGAGGUGCAGUGAGAAGAACAAAUUUGGCUAUAUAG
RNAcentral lists this ribosomal RNA (333 nucleotides) under Triticum aestivum (bread wheat). Its description in RNAcentral is "partial small subunit ribosomal RNA". The record is from RNAcentral. Lineage: Eukaryota; Viridiplantae; Streptophyta; Magnoliopsida; Poales; Poaceae.